Molecule: ribosomal RNA, 301 nt
Filed under: uncultured bacterium
Lineage: Bacteria
Description: partial 16S ribosomal RNA
Rfam family: Bacterial small subunit ribosomal RNA
Source: RNAcentral
CAGUAGCCGCGGGAAUACGAAGGGGGCUAGCGUUGUUCGGAAUCACUGGGCGUAAAGGGCGCGUAGGCGGCCAUUCAAGUUAGAUGUGAAAGCCCUGGGCUCAACCUAGGAAUUGCAUUUGAUACUGUUUGGCUUGAGUUCGGGAGAGGUGAGUGGAAUUCCCAGUGUAGAGGUGAAAUUCGUAGAUAUUGGGAAGAACACCAGUGGCGAAGGCGGCUCACUGGACCGACACUGACGCUGAGGCGCGAAAGCGUGGGGAGCAAACAGGAUUAGAUACCCGAGUAGUCCCUGUCUCUUAUAC